UCACUUGCAGCUGCAUCCAUUGGUAGUGUAGUCAUGUUACCUAAAAAGCAUCUAUCUGGUCAUCAGAAAAGAACUAACAAGAAACGAAUAGAGAAGUUAGUUUGAUCUCAGAAAGGGGCUAUGAAUAAAUUCGUGCUGAGGAAGGAUGCUGCUACGAAUUCUGCGCAAUUAUAUAUCACCAAUGGCGAACAACCAGAUCAGACUGAGAAUGCAGUUGAGGAAAAUUGUGCCGAUGUUGAUGCCAAUCAGAGCACCGGAAAAUUUAGUGGCCAUGGAAACAUAGAUGAGCAGGCUUCUUCUUUUGAUAUUUUUGAUCCUAGAACUUGGAAUAUUCUUGACAAUAAAUCAAGAGAUACUCUCAUUGAAAAAGGACCUACAAGGGAGUACAAUCUUGUGUUUUCCGUGGAUAAGAAAGGCAGGCAUUUUUCAUAUGCUUACUACUCAAGACAGCUAAGGAAUGGUGAGAGUGAUCGGAGGUGGUUAGUGUACUCUAAACAUGUGAAUAAAGUUUAUUGUUUUUGCUGCAAAUUGUUCAAAUCUGAGAACAGCAAAAGUUUGCUAGCAUCCGAGGGAUUGAUGGAUUGGAAACAUCUUAGUGAGAAGCUCAAAUUACAUGAGAAUGGUGCUGAGCACAUCACUAACAUGAAUACUUGGAAUGAGGUAAGGUUGAGGCUAAGUAAGAAGGAAACAAUUGAUAAAGAUUUGCAAGAAGAGAUUGCAAGGGAGAAGAAGCGAUGGAGACAAGUUUUGAUUAGAAUUGUUGCUGCUGUGAAAUUUCUUGCUAAACAUAAUUUGGCUUUUCGAGGAGCAAAUGAGAAAUUAUAUCAAGAUAACAAUGGGAAAUUUUUGGGAGUAAUUGAAAUGAUGGCAGAUCCUGUAAUGCAAGAGGAUCUUCGGCGCAUUCAUAAUAAUGAAAUCCAUCAUCAUUAUCUUGGCCAUAAUAUUCAGAAUGAGUUAAUUUCCCGUCUUGCUCGCACGGUUAAAGAUUCUCUCUUGAAGAUAAUCAAGGAUGCAAGGUAUUUCUCUGUCAUUUUAGGCUGUACCCCUGAUGUGAGCCAUCAAGAACAAAUGACCCUAAUUGUGAGAUGUGUAAACAUGUCAAGUGCCAGUACAAAAAUAGAGGAGUUUUUUCUAGAGUUCAUGAAGGUGGAUAAUACAUCGGGACUUGGACUUUAUAAUGUGUUAAUAGAUACACGUGAAUCUAUUGGUUUGAAUGUUCAAGAUGUUCGUGGACAAGGGUAUGACAAUGGUUCGAACAUGAAGGGGAAAAACCAAGGGGUACAGGGCAGAGUGCUUGCAACUAAUCCAAGAGCAUUGUACAUGUCGUGUGCUUGUCACAGCCUGAAUGUUAGUCUUAGUGGUAUGGCAAAAUCUUGCGGUAAAGCUAUAACUUUCUUUGGUGUUGUGCAAAGAAUUUACAUAUUGUUUUCAAGCUCUACUAAAAGAUGGCAGCUAUUGCUUAAUCAUGUUCCAAAAAUGACAGUUAAGUCUUUGUGUAACACACGAUGGGAGAGUCAAAUAAAGAGUGUUCAUGCUAUCAGAUAUCAAGCACCUGAG
Molecule: ribosomal RNA, 1557 nt
Filed under: Triticum aestivum (bread wheat)
Lineage: Eukaryota; Viridiplantae; Streptophyta; Magnoliopsida; Poales; Poaceae
Description: partial small subunit ribosomal RNA
Source: RNAcentral